ACCGGUCCUCGGUAGUGGCUGCCGGAACGCACGCCCUCGCGGCGUAACGAAUUCCGGCAGCUUCGAUCGAAGGCCGUC
Molecule: regulatory RNA element, 78 nt
Organism: Gordonia hirsuta
Lineage: Bacteria; Bacillati; Actinomycetota; Actinomycetes; Mycobacteriales; Gordoniaceae
Rfam family: Actino-pnp RNA
Source: Rfam